CAUGAUUCAGCGGCGGACGGGUGAGUAAUGCCUAGGAAUCUGCCUGGUAGUGGGGGACAACGUUUCGAAAGGAACGCUAAUACCGCAUACGUCCUACGGGAGAAAGUGGGGGAUCUUCGGACCUCACGCUAUCAGAUGAGCCUAGGUCGGAUUAGCUAGUUGGUGAGGUAAAGGCUCACCAAGGCGACGAUCCGUAACUGGUCUGAGAGGAUGAUCAGUCACACUGGAACUGAGACACGGUCCAGACUCCUACGGGAGGCAGCAGUGGGGAAUAUUGGACAAUGGGCGAAAGCCUGAUCCAGCCAUGCCGCGUGUGUGAAGAAGGUCUUCGGAUUGUAAAGCACUUUAAGUUGGGAGGAAGGGCAGUAAGUUAAUACCUUGCUGUUUUGACGUUACCAACAGAAUAAGCACCGGCUAACUUCGUGCCAGCAGCCGCGGUAAUACGAAGGGUGCAAGCGUUAAUCGGAAUUACUGGGCGUAAAGCGCGCGUAGGUGGUUCGUUAAGUUGGAUGUGAAAGCCCCGGGCUCAACCUGGGAACUGCAUCCAAAACUGGCGAGCUAGAGUAUGGCAGAGGGUGGUGGAAUUUCCUGUGUAGCGG
RNAcentral lists this ribosomal RNA (599 nucleotides) under Stutzerimonas stutzeri. Its description in RNAcentral is "bacterial SSU rRNA". It matches the Rfam family "Bacterial small subunit ribosomal RNA", at positions 86 to 681 of the family's 1533-position model. The record is from RNAcentral. Lineage: Bacteria; Pseudomonadati; Pseudomonadota; Gammaproteobacteria; Pseudomonadales; Pseudomonadaceae.